Molecule: ribosomal RNA, 453 nt
Filed under: Chrysopathes cf. micracantha NB-2020
Lineage: Eukaryota; Metazoa; Cnidaria; Anthozoa; Antipatharia; Cladopathidae
Description: partial 28S ribosomal RNA
Rfam family: Eukaryotic large subunit ribosomal RNA
Source: RNAcentral
CUCGGCCUCAGAUCAGACAAGGCUACCCGCUGAAUUUAAGCAUAUUAAUAAGCGGAGGAAAAGAAACUAACAAGGAUUCCCCCAGUAACGGCGAGUGAAGCGGGAUAAGCUCAAAUUUAAAAUCUCCGUUGCUUGCAACGGCGAAUUGUAGUUUCGAGAAGCGCUUUCUAGGUGGGCCGGCUGUGCCUAAGUUGCUUGGAACAGCACGUCAUAGAGGGUGACAACCCCGUCUGUGGCGCAGGCGGCCGCUGACGAUGUGCUUUCGAAGAGUCGGGUUGUUUGGGAAUGCAGCCCAAAAUGGGUGGUAAACUCCAUCUAAAGCUAAAUAUUGGCACGAGACCGAUAGCGAACAAGUACCGUGAGGGAAAGAUGAAAAGGACUUUGGAAAGAGAGUUAAAAAGUACGUGAAACCGUUAAAAGGGAAACGAAUGGAGCUAGCAAUGCACCCUGUGA